RNAcentral lists this long non-coding RNA (4409 nucleotides) under Jatropha curcas. RNAcentral's name for it is "long non-coding RNA (JCUR_LNC001385)". Lineage: Eukaryota; Viridiplantae; Streptophyta; Magnoliopsida; Malpighiales; Euphorbiaceae. The record is from RNAcentral.
ACCUCAUUUCAGUCAAGCUAAUGCAAUGUUGUGCCCGGUUUACAUUAAACUGCUGUAUGCUUUACAGCUGAAUCCCCCAAAUUCUUCAUCAAACGCAAACCAAGUUCAACAAUAUCAAUUGUCCCCAGGAGAACAUCCGAGAAUUCAGGUACUUGUUCUGGAUACUUGAUCACAAACAUGUCCAAGAAUUUUUCUUCAGAAUAUCCAAGAAUAGAAGCUAAACUGAUUUCUGCUCUGAUCAAACCCUUUAGAAUCAAAACUCUUAAAACUGAACACCUUGGAACAACCCUCUUCUCGAAACUAUAACAUAAAACAACUGGAUAUUUUGCAAUAAUUGCAGGCUGCCAACCCAUUUUGUUCACAAGAAAAUCUAUCUUCUUUAUAAUUGUCUUCUCUGAGUAACCCAUACACAGUGGACGCUUUUUGAUGACAGACCAUAUUUCUUCUUCCGAAAAACCCAACCUACUGAAAGCAUCAAUUUUUUGUUUCCAUGUUUUGGAUUUCAUUUGCAUUAUCAUUCGAAGAGCAUUGGCAAAUGAAAUAUUCCGAGGAUCAAAUCCCAUACCUACAACAUUUUUAAUAGCUUCACUAAACCUUUCAGAAUUUGCGCAUACAGCGUUGGGGCAAUUGGUAAUCAAAAUAGAGAUGGUAGAUUGACGCAUUCCGAGCUCUCUUAAGACUGAUAAAUUAACAGGCAAGUGUUCCUUGACAUAGCACAUGUUGAAUGCUGAUAUGCGUUUCAAUAUAAUAAGGCCUCACUCAUCAGAAAAUAACAAACUUUUAAUAACAGCAUAAACUGGGAUCAAAAGAUUGUUCAAGCUGCCAGACAAGAAAACGGGGUUCUUAGAUAUCAUCACCGGAAGGUCAGAAACCCCAAUAGAACGUAAAAAUUGAAUCUUUGGUAAUAUUGUCUUCACGGGAUCGAAUAAAAUCAACUUGGGCUGUCCCCUAAUAACUUGAGAUAUCUGGUAUUUGGUGAGUCCAUAGUCUUUGAGAAGAUUAAUGACAGCAUCUGGUCUUUCGGAGUUUUCAAAAUUUACGUACUUUGAAACACGUUUAGCAGAUUGUGAGGAUAAGCCACAUGAGUUGAUGAGGUAUGACACUGUAAAAGAGUGUGUAUUAGAUUUAGAUGAAAAAUACCUGAUUGUAACCAGUGCUUUAAAAUGAAUAAUACCCAAUUGGGCACUGUUCGAGUCUAACAGCGCACGACUCCAAUCAUUUAACGCCAAUCUUCUAUUGGAGAAACGGAACAUCAUAUGAAAGGCCAACUCACCGAGUUUAGGAGGGGAAACAGCUGGAAUUGGACGUUUUGCUUUAUCUGCCUUGUAAAUCAGUGAGCUAUAAAAUCGAAAAUACGAUUUUUACCCAGAAAACCAUUCAGCAAUACGAAACUUUCUGAGAAUUUAACAUCAAAAGAGCCAUAAUAUUGCCUGCUCUGCCUCCAUUCCGGCAGUUCAAGAUAGGUCACGGUACUUAAGCGUUUUAGGGUUUUGCAGUUGCAAGAGCGAAGAGGAGAAAUCAAUUAUAUUUACUCAAACACGCUGCCGUUUUCAGUUAGCUGGUGCUUUUAGAGGCUGAGUCCAGCAUGGGUCAGCAUAAUACCAGGCCCAACUCGAACCGAAACUGCAUUUCUUUCCCUGAACUGAUUUCACCGUUGUUGUUGCUUUUCAUUUGUAAUAAAAUUAUUUGUAAUGGAAAACAGUUACAAAAUGAUAUAUAGGGAUAUGCAGUUGCAAAAGAGAGCGAGAGUGAAGAGGAGAAAUCAAUUUUCAAUGUAAUUUUACAUUUUUUAUCAUUUCGCAGUUGAUUGCCGUUGUCAUUGCAUUUGUCAUUACAUCUACAACUACUAAGGACGAAUUCCAAACCAUCACAUAUCAGCAAUAAUUCUAAAAACUGAAAAAAGAAAAGAAAAGAUAAGUUCAAAAUGAUUCUGUACAAAUUACAAUAAUCAUCUUUUCUUUUGUUUUGUUUUACUUUCUCCUUCAUCUGCAGCUAUUGCUCCCACUCGAGUCUGUCUUCACCUUGAUUGUUAGUAUACGUGAAUAGUAUCCGUGAAUAGUAUCAGUAUACAUAAAUAGUAUCAGUAUACGUAAAUAGUACUAAUAUAUUUGAAUAGUAUCAGUAUACGCCGACGCCAAUAGUACUGUUUACAACCAACUUUGAGUUACUGUUUUACUAUUCACUACUAAGCGAUUGUUUUACUAUUCACCACUAAGUCGAUUGUUUUACUAUUCACCACUAAGUCGAUCUACAACUUCUUUCCGAGCGUAUAGCACCGAUGAACUCAUCGUAAUUUUCUUAUCGUCGUGGUAUAUUUGUUUUCAAAAUAUAUCCACGGAUCUGGUCCCGCUAUCUGACCAGCUGGACCUGCCGAAACCUUCGGCUCUGAUACCAGUUGUUGAAAAAAAUUACGCAAAAUCCCCAAUAACUUAGAUUUAUGAGGGAGCAAAAGAAAAUAAUAACACACAAUUUGAUAAUGGAGUUCGGCCAAUCUUGCCUACUUCUCCGGACUGCCACAUAUCUUUUAUAGAGAAAAAUAAAUAAAGUAUUUACAUACACUCACAACCCGCUAUCCAAGAAUACCCGAAAAAUUAAACUUAAUUUUUCUUCUUGCAUAAUCUCUCUAUUUUUCUCUCUUACAGUUGCUCUCUCUCUCAAUUGCUAUCACUCUCUAUUUGUCUUGUGUAUUUAAAUGAACUUCGUCUGCCUCUUUUUAUAGGCAGUUGUAUACUUUGUCAAAAGAAAAUUGACAACUUUUCUUCUUUUCCAAAUAACACGUUUUCCUUUUUUUUUUUUUUUCUUUUUUUCUUUUGCACAUGUGGGUCCCAUUUAAGUGGGACCACCAAAACCAACUUUGACAAGGUCCACCUAGAAGGAAGCAAUAAUACAAGGCAAAAGAUUAUUGACAUAUGAUUUGUAUCCAGUUUCUACGAGUUAGGUUCUCCAUUCUCACCGCAACUUGCUGUUAAAUUUUUUGUCAAAAUCUUCACCUUGUGGCAGUUCUUUUUCAUGAAAUUUCAAUGUAACUUUACAUUUUUUAUCAUUUCGUAGUUGUUUGCAUUUGUCAUUACAUAUCUUCAACUACUAAUGACGAAUACCAACCAUCACAUAUCAGCAAUAAUUCCAUAAAUUGGAAAAAGAAAAGAAAAGUUUAAAAUAAUUCUAUACAAAUUGCAAUAAUCAUCUUUUCUUAUCAGCUCCAAAAUCUUUUCUUUUCUUUUGUUUCACUUUCUCCGACUUCAUGUUGAUAUUGAUUUCACUCUUCUUCAGUAAUUCCCUCAGGAUAAAUCUGCAGAAAGAUUGGAACAUGUAAAAAUGAAAUUGUCAGUAAAGAAUUAUAUAUAUAUAUAUAUAUAUAUAUAUAUAAAGGGAGAGCGAAAAAAGAAAAAUUAUCUUACCUGACUGCGAUUUUCUUCAUGGAAACUUACGGUUCUAACUUUGAACUCCCCUCUGCUAGUAGUUAGCUCAUCUAACAUUUCUGCGUAACACACUUGGACUUUCCCUUCCUAAUUUCCUAAACCAGUUGCUUCAUUUUCCUGAUAAUUAAAAAGAAAAUGCACAAAAUUAGUACUAAUCCAAAAAAAUGUAUGUAUAGACUAAAGAUUGAAUAAACAGAUGGACAUACUGUCAAAGAAAGGCUGAAAGAUAGUCGUGGAGCUCUGGUAAUUUCCUCAUAUUCAGCUACAUCUAGUUCUCUUAAAUGAUGAGGACUAAACAGUUUGUAGAGGCUGAGUGCAUGGGUAUACACCGGGCCCAACUCGAACCGACAAUGCUUCCCUCCUAACUUGUGAUUUUCCUCUCAAAAAUUAUGAGAUUAUUGCGAGUUCAAUAUUCCAACCUAAUUAAUUGGAAAAAGUUCCCAAAGAAAAGCAGUGGUUCUGUACAAAAUCCUCCCUUUGAUUAAGAAAAGCAACGCAAAACUAAUUACCAUACAUGUCUAUGGAUUGACAAUGUUUAAUUUCAAAUUACAUGGUCUUUGCUGUUCAUUUUUAGAUAAAAAUUUUUGGUGAACAAAAAGCAUUUACAGAAUACUACUAGUACAAGACACACGAAUCUUCUUAUUAACAAAUAAAUUGAUAGACUCACCUAUUACAAGUUAAUUAGAAAAAGUAACCUCAUUUCAGUCAAGCUAAUGCAAUGUUGUGUCCGGUUUACAUUAAACUGCUGUAUGCUUUACAGCUGAAUCCCCAAAAUUCUUCAUCAAACUCAAACCCAGUUCAACAAUAUCAAUUUUCCCCAGGAGAACAUCCGAGAAUUCAGGUACCUGUUCUCGAUGCUUGAUCACAAACAUGUCCAAGAAUUUUUCUUCAGAAUAUCCAAGAAUAGAAGUUAAACUGAUUUCUGCUCUGAUCAAACCCUUUAGAAUCAAAACUCUUAUAACUGAACACCUUGGAACAACCCUCUUCUCG